This 387-nucleotide ribosomal RNA is filed under the name uncultured bacterium. Its description in RNAcentral is "partial 16S ribosomal RNA". It matches the Rfam family "Bacterial small subunit ribosomal RNA", at positions 338 to 723 of the family's 1533-position model. The record is from RNAcentral.
CCUACGGGUGGCAGCAGUGAGGAAUAUUGGUCAAUGGCCGCGAGUCUGAACCAGCCAAGUAGCGUGAAGGAUGACUGCCCUACGGGUUGUAAACUUCUUUUAUAAGGGAAUAAAGCGAGGCACGUGUGCCUUUUUGUAUGUACCAUAUGAAUAAGGAUCGGCUAACUCCGUGCCAGCAGCCGCGGUAAUACGGAGGAUCCGAGCGUUAUCCGGAUUUAUUGGGUUUAAAGGGAGCGUAGGUGGAUUGUUAAGUCAGUGGUGAAAUUUUGGGGCUAAACCGUAAAAUUGCAUUGGAUAUGGGAGGCUUGAGGGCACGAGAGGUGUGCGGAAUGCGUGGUGGAGCGGGGGAAUGCUUAGAUAUCACGAAGAACUCCGAUUGCGAAGGCA